GACGAACGCUGGCGGCGUGCCUAAUACAUGCAAGUAGAACGCACAGUUUAUACCGUAGCUUGCUACACCAUAGACUGUGAGUUGCGAACGGGUGAGUAACGCGUAGGUAACCUGCCUGGUAGCGGGGGAUAACUAUUGGAAACGAUAGCUAAUACCGCAUAAUAUUAAUUAUUGCAUGAUAAUUAAUUGAAAGGUGCAAUUGCACCACUACCAGAUGGACCUGCGUUGUAUUAGCUAGUAGGUGAGGUAACGGCUCACCUAGGCGACGAUACAUAGCCGACCUGAGAGGGUGAUCGGCCACACUGGGACUGAGACACGGCCCAGACUUCUACGGGAGGCAGCAGUAGGGAAACUUCGGCAAUGGACGAAAGGCUGACCGAGCAACGCCGCGUGAGGGAAGAAGGUUUUCGGAUCGUAAAGCUCUGUUGUAAGAGAAGAACGGGUGUGAGAGUGGAAAGUUCACACUGUGACGGUAUCUUACCAGAAAGGGACGGCUAACUACGUG
This 505-nucleotide ribosomal RNA is filed under the name uncultured bacterium. RNAcentral's name for it is "partial 16S ribosomal RNA". It matches the Rfam family "Bacterial small subunit ribosomal RNA", at positions 28 to 507 of the family's 1533-position model. The record is from RNAcentral.